This 253-nucleotide ribosomal RNA is filed under the name uncultured bacterium. RNAcentral's name for it is "partial 16S ribosomal RNA". It matches the Rfam family "Bacterial small subunit ribosomal RNA", at positions 524 to 776 of the family's 1533-position model. The record is from RNAcentral.
GACGGGGGUGACGAGUGUUACUCAACUUGACUGGGCGUAAAGGGCAACUAGGCGGCUUCCUAGGUGUGGCGUUAAAGGCCGGCCAUUGAAUUCGGUUUUGCGCCGCAUACCGGGAGGCUAGAGUUCGGUAGGGGGCAGCAGUACCCUCGGUGUAGAGGUAAAAUUCGGUGAUAUCGGGGGGACUCGCUACGGCGAAGGCCGCUGCCUGGUCCGCCACUGACGCUGAAAGGCAAAAGCGUGGGGAGCAAACAGG